Non-coding RNA from Picea glauca (white spruce), 74 nucleotides. Lineage: Eukaryota; Viridiplantae; Streptophyta; Pinopsida; Pinales; Pinaceae. The record is from Rfam.
UCCAUUGUCGUCUAGUUCGGUUAGGAUACCUGGUUUUCACCCAGGCGACCCGGGUUCAAAUCCCGGCAACGGAA